GGCGUCAUAGCUCAGUUGGGAGAGCAGCAGACUGAAGAUAAUUGGUGCUUAUGUAAUCAGAUUACGUAAUCUGAAGGUCCCGUGUUCAAGCCACGGUGAUGCCA
Molecule: non-coding RNA, 104 nt
Organism: Mycena latifolia
Lineage: Eukaryota; Fungi; Basidiomycota; Agaricomycetes; Agaricales; Mycenaceae
Source: the annotation of a GenBank genome assembly